UAAGAAAAAGAAAAAGAAAAAAAAAAGACUUGGAGGUUUAACCAGCUGAGCACUCAAGUGCCCUGAGCAUGAGACUCCUAAUCUCAAGGUUGUGAGUUCAAGCUCCACUUUGGACAUGGAGCCUACUUAAUUAAAAAAAAAAAAAAAAGAAGAAGAAAAGAAAGAAAGCAAGAAAGAAAAGAAAGAAACGUAAUUGCCCAAGUUGAGAAGAGAAUAUUCUUCUUUAUCAAAGAUGACUGGCUAAUAAAGGAAAUAGAAGAACAAAUUUAAUACAGCUCAUGAAAGCAAUCAGAAAAAUCCAAUAAAUGGGACAAUAUACAGGUAAA
Molecule: long non-coding RNA, 326 nt
Organism: Lynx canadensis (Canada lynx)
Lineage: Eukaryota; Metazoa; Chordata; Mammalia; Carnivora; Felidae
Exons: 2
Source: RefSeq, a predicted model, not a curated record